GGACUCCCUUCUCCUCUUGCCACGUCACUAAAUGGGUUCAUCAGGUGUCGACACGUGUCUAAACGCAUUUUAUAUCUACGUUUCAUUUAACUGUUGUUUCGUGGGUUUUAAUAGCUGUGUUUCGUUGUUGGGCCGUCACAAUUGGGUUUAGCAGAUUACUUUGCCGUCUUCUUGCUGAUUUUAAUCUGCAAACAGACGAUAUAUUUUCUCAACUCUUAGCCUCCCUUAUCGUUCAACAUUCACAAUCUCCAACUCUCUGUCUCCCUUCCCAUUCCAUGCGGAUCGAAAACCACCUCAAGCCUAUAAAUUGGAGAGUGUGCAGAGAAGAAGGAGCCAGUUUGCCGUAGGAUGGAGCAGACGGUGGCGCGGAUGAGGAUGGUGGCUUUGGUUCAUCGUAGGGCACAUCAUAAGAAGAGGAAGUUGAUGAUCGUACAACGGAUUGUUUCCGCCGGAGGAGUAAGGUAGCUUUGGAGGUGGCGAUUGAUUUCCACAACCGUAACCUGAAAAAGUGAAUCAGGAGAAAGACUCUUGCAGAAAGUAUUUAAAGUUCAGUGGAGUUAUUGAUAUUCUCACCAAAGAAAGACAAGCCUUCCUCUGCUUUAGAAUCUAGGCCUUGCAGCACAGAUAGUUCAUGUGGUAAUUGCUGCAACUUUGUUGAAUUCACCAGUAAACUGUUAUCCGGACAGAACAUGUCCUCCAAAGAUCAGUCAUUACUGUAUGAGCCCAUCAAAGAGCUUGAUAUCACGUUAAACCAAAUUGUUUUAGAUAGAUGCAGGAGUUUCAGUAGAUAUAAUUUCAGGCGUGAAUGAUCCAGUAACUUUGCAUUACCUCAACAGGUUUGCAAGUAAAUUAUCUUAAGGCCGUUUUUUUCCUACAGCCACCGGUCAGUUGACUUUUCCCUCGAUCAGCACCUUAUAACACCUUCAGAUCAUGUAGAAAUCCUCAUUCAUUUGAUGUGGACGAUAUCAGAUUUCUUGGAACUUAUGGUAAGAACAUCAAUGACCUUGACAAGUACUCAGAGGCGAAAAGCAAGCUUGAUUUGCCGAAAGAAGACUGAGGUGGAGACAUCUUGCUCCCGCUGCACCUAAUACAAUCAGUUGUUAUCCUUUCACCGAUGGAGAGCCUUUAGUGAUUGAAACUUGCCCUCAUGUCUUCUUCGUUGGAAAUCAAGAUAAAUAUGACAACCGUUUGGUAAAGGGUCAGAAGGUCAGCUGAUUAGGUUGAUCUGCAUUCGAAAAUUUUGUAAGACCGGUAUUGCUGUUGCAGUGCGUUGAAAUUUGAGAAGAUAUAAUCUGGAAUUCAAUUUUUCUUUCAUAUCUCAAAUUCAUCAAACAUAGUUGUUUUUUUUUUAUGGUUUUUUUUAUUGGCAGAGGAACUUGAGGAAUAUGGUGUGUCACACCUGUAGCUUUAACAUUCAGUUCAUACCAUUAAAUACUUUGAAGAUC
This is a long non-coding RNA of Raphanus sativus (radish), 1445 nucleotides long. RefSeq lists it as uncharacterized. The transcript is spliced from 9 exons. The record is from RefSeq and is a predicted model, not a curated record. NCBI's taxonomy places the organism in Eukaryota, Viridiplantae, Streptophyta, Magnoliopsida, Brassicales, Brassicaceae.